Thalassophryne amazonica is the source of this 126-nucleotide long non-coding RNA. RefSeq lists it as uncharacterized. Lineage: Eukaryota; Metazoa; Chordata; Actinopteri; Batrachoidiformes; Batrachoididae. The record is from RefSeq and is a predicted model, not a curated record. The transcript has 3 exons.
UACAUCCGAGAGUAAUAGUACAGGUCACGAGAAUGUCCGGCCCACAGAUCAUAGUAUUCUGACAAAUUUGGCCCCCGGAAAAAUAUAGUUGAAUAGCCUUGCUCUAGGGCAUCAUAUCUCACCCAU